RNAcentral lists this unclassified non-coding RNA (217 nucleotides) under Hevea brasiliensis (rubber tree). The record is from RNAcentral. Lineage: Eukaryota; Viridiplantae; Streptophyta; Magnoliopsida; Malpighiales; Euphorbiaceae.
GAAAAAUUGAAAAAAAAAAAAAAAUACAACUAAACUGGUUCUGAUACCAUCCUUCCCGUUGUCAACGAGAUCAUUAAAGACCUAAUGAAACACUUCAUUUACGUUUGCAAAUGGGACAGAAGGUCUUGAGGUUUCAAGAUGCGGCUGAGUAGUUGAAGAACAAAAAAGACAGCAGAAAUCCAUGCCCCUCGAUGAGGGGAAGAGUAGUACUAGAAUG